UCAGGAUGAACGCUAGCGUACAGGCUUAACACAUGCAAGUCGAGGGGCAGCAUGAAGAUGUGCUUGCACAACUUUGAUGGCGACCGGCGCACGGGUGAGUAACGCGUAUCCAACCUUCCCUAUAGUAGAGAAUAGCCCGGCGAAAGUCGGAUUAAUGCUCUAUGUUCUUCUUUGAUGGCAUCUGAGGAGAAGCAAAGGUUCACCGCUAUAGGAUGGGGAUGCGUCUGAUUAGGUAGUCGGCGGGGUAACGGCCCACCGAGCCAACGAUCAGUAGGGGUUCUGAGAGGAAGGUCCCCCACAUUGGUACUGAGACACGGACCAAACUCCUACGGGAGGCAGCAGUGAGGAAUAUUGGUCAAUGGGCGAGAGCCUGAACCAGCCAAGUAAGCGUGCAGGACGACUGCCCUAUGGGUUGUAAACUGCUUUUAUAGGGGAAUAAAGUGAGGUACGUGUACCUUUUUGUAUGUACCCUAUGAAUAAGGACCGGCUAAUUCCGUGCCAGCCGCAGC
Molecule: ribosomal RNA, 509 nt
Filed under: uncultured bacterium
Lineage: Bacteria
Description: bacterial SSU rRNA
Rfam family: Bacterial small subunit ribosomal RNA
Source: RNAcentral